This 1359-nucleotide ribosomal RNA is filed under the name uncultured bacterium. Its description in RNAcentral is "bacterial SSU rRNA". It matches the Rfam family "Bacterial small subunit ribosomal RNA", at positions 28 to 1381 of the family's 1533-position model. The record is from RNAcentral.
GAUGAACGCUAGCUACAGGCUUAACACAUGCAAGUCGAGGGGCAGCAUUUCAGUUUGCUUGCAAACUGGAGAUGGCGACCGGCGCACGGGUGAGUAACACGUAUCCAACCUGCCGAUAACUCGGGGAUAGCCUUUCGAAAGAAAGAUUAAUACCCGAUGGUAUAAUCAGACCGCAUGGUCUUGUUAUUAAAGAAUUUCGGUUAUCGAUGGGGAUGCGUUCCAUUAGGCAGUUGGUGAGGUAACGGCUCACCAAACCUUCGAUGGAUAGGGGUUCUGAGAGGAAGGUCCCCCACAUUGGAACUGAGACACGGUCCAAACUCCUACGGGAGGCAGCAGUGAGGAAUAUUGGCCAAUGGGCGCAGGCCUGAACCAGCCAAGUAGCGUGAAGGAUGACUGCCCUAUGGGUUGUAAACUUCUUUUAUAUGGGAAUAAAGUUUUCCACGUGUGGAAUUUUGUAUGUACCAUAUGAAUAAGGAUCGGCUAACUCCGUGCCAGCAGCCGCGGUAAUACGGAGGAUCCGAGCGUUAUCCGGAUUUAUUGGGUUUAAAGGGAGCGUAGGUGGACAGUUAAGUCAGUUGUGAAAGUUUGCGGCUCAACCGUAAAAUUGCAGUUGAUACUGGCUGUCUUGAGUACAGUAGAGGUGGGCGGAAUUCGUGGUGUAGCGGUGAAAUGCUUAGAUAUCACGAAGAACUCCGAUUGCGAAGGCAGCUCACUGGACUGCAACUGACACUGAUGCUCGAAAGUGUGGGUAUCAAACAGGAUUAGAUACCCUGGUAGUCCACACAGUAAACGAUGAAUACUCGCUGUUUGCGAUAUACAGUAAGCGGCCAAGCGAAAGCAUUAAGUAUUCCACCUGGGGAGUACGCCGGCAACGGUGAAACUCAAAGGAAUUGACGGGGGCCCGCACAAGCGGAGGAACAUGUGGUUUAAUUCGAUGAUACGCGAGGAACCUUACCCGGGCUUAAAUUGCAUUUGAAUAUAUUGGAAACAGUAUAGCCGUAAGGCAAAUGUGAAGGUGCUGCAUGGUUGUCGUCAGCUCGUGCCGUGAGGUGUCGGCUUAAGUGCCAUAACGAGCGCAACCCUUAUCUUUAGUUACUAACAGGUCAUGCUGAGGACUCUAGAGAGACUGCCGUCGUAAGAUGUGAGGAAGGUGGGGAUGACGUCAAAUCAGCACGGCCCUUACGUCCGGGGCUGCACACGUGUUACAAUGGGGGGUACAGAAGGCAGCUACCUGGUGACAGGAUGCUAAUCCCAAAAGCCUCUCUCAGUUCGGAUCGAAGUCUGCAACCCGACUUCGUGAAGCUGGAUUCGCUAGUAAUCGCGCAUCAGCCAUGGCGCGGUGAAUACGUUCCCGGGCCU